AGCGGAGGCAGAACUAAACAGGAUCCCCAUAGUAAUGGCGAAUGAACCGGGAUAAACUCAGCAUGGAAAUUGGGGCCUUUGGCUUUGACUUGUAAUCUGGUGAGGCAUUGCCAACAGAGGCGCAUAUGUAAGUCUCUUGGAAAAGAGCAUCAACGAAGGUGAGAGUCCUGAUUGUCAUGUGCAGCCCCCCUGUGCACGGUGUGCCUUCUAAGAGUCACGUUCCUUGGGAUUGGAGCGCAAAUUGGGUGGUAACUUUCAUCUGAAGUUAAACAAGGGUUUGGGACCGAUAGGAAACAAGUACCAUGAGGGAAAGGUGAAAAGGACUUUGGAAAGAGAGUUAAAAGUGCCUGAAAUUGCUGAAGGGGAAGCGAAUGGAACCAGUAGUGCUGGGUGAGAUUGUCACAUGCUACAAGGAUUGGUUGCUGCCACAACGCAAGUGUGAUGGCAAUUUGUGAAUUGCUAGUGUGUGGUGUGUCUUACCUAGUGGGUCAUUGUGGGUUUAUGCAUUAAGAUAAGUCAAAGCAAGCGGGAGCAAGUUUACGAGUUUGUGAAUGUGUGUUGUUAUGCUUGUGCGUAAGCUUUAAGGUUUGUCUGGCUGCAGGGCUGUCCAUCCUCGAGCUGAGGGUUGCGAUGAGCAUAACCUUCUGCGCAGAUCUUGACGAAAUGGUUUCAUUCGACCCGUCUUGA
Molecule: ribosomal RNA, 687 nt
Filed under: Dinophysis caudata
Lineage: Eukaryota; Dinophyceae; Dinophysales; Dinophysaceae
Description: LSU rRNA
Rfam family: Eukaryotic large subunit ribosomal RNA
Source: RNAcentral